UCAGUACAGGUGGUGCAUGGCUGUCGUCAGCUCGUGUCGUGAGAUGUUGGGUUAAGUCCCGCAACGAGCGCAACCCUUAUUCUUAGUUGUCUUCCCUUUGGGAUUACCCUCUAAGAAGACUGCCUCGGAUAACGGGGAGGAAGGUGGGGAUGACGUCAAGUCCGCAUGCUCCUUACGUCUAGGGCUACACACGUCCUACAAUGGGGUCGACAAUGGGAUGCAAUAUCGCAAGAUGGAGCCAAUCCCCCAAACGGCCUCUCAGUUCGGAUUGUAGUCUGCAACUCGACUACAUGAAGUUGGAAUCGCUAGUAAUGGCAGAUCAGCAUGCUGCCGUGAAUACGUUCCCGGGUCUU
This 353-nucleotide ribosomal RNA is filed under the name uncultured bacterium. RNAcentral describes it as "bacterial SSU rRNA". It matches the Rfam family "Bacterial small subunit ribosomal RNA", at positions 1029 to 1382 of the family's 1533-position model. The record is from RNAcentral.